This 467-nucleotide ribosomal RNA is filed under the name uncultured bacterium. RNAcentral's name for it is "partial 16S ribosomal RNA". It matches the Rfam family "Bacterial small subunit ribosomal RNA", at positions 28 to 506 of the family's 1533-position model. The record is from RNAcentral.
GACGAACGCUGGCGGCGUGCUUAACACAUGCAAGUCGAACGGAAAGGCCCUGCUUUUGUGGGGUGCUCGAGUGGCGAACGGGUGAGUAACACGUGAGUAACCUGCCCUUGACUUUGGGAUAACUUCAGGAAACUGGGGCUAAUACCGGAUAGGAGCUCCUGCUGCAUGGUGGGGGUUGGAAAGUUUCGGCGGUUGGGGAUGGACUCGCGGCUUAUCAGCUUGUUGGUGGGGUAGUGGCUUACCAAGGCUUUGACGGGUAGCCGGCCUGAGGGGGUGACCGGCCAAAUGGGGACUGGGGUACGGCCCGGAUCCCUCCGGGAGGCAGGGGGGGGGAAUUUUGCACAAGGGGGGGAAGCCUGAUGCAGAAACGCCGGGGGGGGGAUGAGGGCCUUCGGGUGGUAAACCGCUUUCGCCGGUGACGAAGCGGGGGUGAGGGUAAUGGGUAAAGAAGCCCCGGCAAACUAGGU